UGUGUAGGCGGUUGUUUAAGUUUGGUGUGAAAUCUCCCGGCUCAACUGGGAGGGUGCGCCGAAUACUGAAUGACUUCGAGUGCGGGAGAGGAAAGUGGAAUUCCUGGUGUAGCGGUGAAAUGCGUAGAUAUCAGGAGGAACACCGGUGGUGUAGACGGCUUUCUGGACCGUAACUGACGCUGAGACACGAAAGCGUGGGUAGCAAACA
This 208-nucleotide ribosomal RNA is filed under the name uncultured bacterium. RNAcentral describes it as "partial 16S ribosomal RNA". It matches the Rfam family "Bacterial small subunit ribosomal RNA", at positions 568 to 774 of the family's 1533-position model. The record is from RNAcentral.